CCGAGAGGCUCCUGUUCCCCUCCUCUAGUCGCCCCAAUUCCCUUCUAUCGUCUCCAUUUCUCCCCUCCGGCUCCUUCUUUGCUGACGCCGGAGUUUCUGCAGAGGCCUAAUUGUGUACAACUUAGGCCGCAACUUCCGUAGCACCACCUGUUCCUCCCUGAUCAAUUUCCACUUAUGUGCCCUGAGAAUGGGAGGAGGAAAAAAAAGAUUUAGAAGUGUCAUUCCAUCAUCAUUCUGGAGGUUAUUCACUAUUUCAAAAAAUGUCGUUUGACUGAAAGGGGAUUGCCACGGGUUUCAAAGUGAAAUGUGAAUUUAUUAUCAAGGAGAAUUUACCAACACAAAAAGGAAUAAUAAAAUAAAAAGAAUCGAUAACUUGAAGUUCCAUGGGAGCACUAACAUUCUGGUUUCAUGGCUACCUGGAGAAGAGGAUCUGCUCUCCGAUCACCAUUAAAUGAUGAGACUCAAGAAACAGAUGCAGCACAGAGCUGAUCAAAAAUGAACUUCAAAUGUCUGUGAACUGUGACUUGUCAUGUAAGGACUUCUCUCUGGCUGUGCAAAAGGACAAAGGACUGAUUGAAUCUGUCAAGAGCAGCAAGAAAUAUCUAUGGGAAAAGUAGACUUGGAAAAUAAAGGAAUACAAUGGAAUUUAUGAAAAAAAUCUAUACGUACACAAAGACUAACAAACAACCAAUGUGCAAAAGAAGAUAAAUUGUACGAAGAGAAAAUGUAAAUAAUACUGAGAAUGAAUGACUGAACCUGUUCUGCAACAAACUGUGGUUCAUUGUCAUUGACUAAGUUCUCUGGAACACCAGUCCUUGAGAAGAGGCUUCUCAACACAUCAACAGUGUGGGAGUCUGUAGUGGAGGCUAUUGGGAACAUUUCUGGCCACUUUGUAGCUGCGUCCACUACUACCAGGAAAUUUGUGCCCAUGAAUGUUUCGGCAAAUCUACAUGACUCCUCUGCCACAGAGUUGCAGGCUGUUUCCAGAGAAUGGAGAGGCGCAGUUCUUGGCAUCUUCUGGAUACAUUGGCAUCCCGACCAGUGCAUGUAAACUGCAUUUUUUAAAAACCUGGGCACACAUCUAGACAGCAUUUAAUUAGAGACCUACUCUCAAGAAUACUCCAACCUACUGAAUCGUGGACUGCUGUGGUGACUUGGAUUUCUGAAUACAAUUUUCCAUUUGAAAAUAAGCAAUGGACUCUUGCUUACCUUGGAGUUGGAGGUGAUUUCCUGAAGCUUAUUCUAAUUAAAUAUAUUUCUCAUUAUCCUCACCUGCCUGGAGAUUGACGGAAUAUUGUGUGAGUUCAUUGUGAAUGUGGCUGUAACCUUUCUAAAUGAGGCAAGCAUUUACAGGAUAAAAGAAAUACACAACAGCUGGACUGAACAUACCGGCUGUGUGGUGAAAAAAACACAACAGCGCCUCUUUCAUCUCAGAUGGCUGAUGAAGUUUGGCAUGGGUUCCCAAAUCCUCAGGACUUUCUACAGGGGAACCAUCGAGAGCAUCCUGACUGGCUGUGUCACCACUUGGUACGGGAACUGUACUACCCUCAAUCGCAGGACACUGCAGAGAGUGGCGUGGUCAGCCCAGCGCAUCUGUGGAUGUGAACUUUCCUCUAUUUAGGACAUUUACAGCAGUUGGUGUGCAGAACGGCCACUGAGGAUCAUCGGGGACUCCAGCCACCCCAACCUCAAACUGUGUCAGCUACUUCCAUCUGGCAAAUGGUACUGCAACAUUAAGGUCAGGACCAACAGGCUCCUGGACAGCUUCUUUCACCAGGCCAUCAGGGCACCUGAUCCUCAAUUGAGCCGGCUGCAUAAAAACUCUGGCUUACAUCCAUUCGCGGCUGGUCCGUCACCUCAGCAGUGUGGCUAUGCUUGUUCUGGGCCACCGAGAAUGCGUCGAGUUGAGAGCCUGUUAUCCACAGUUCCUGGGUUGAUUUGAGAACCUGUCGUCCAGCUGAGCUUUGCCGCUUCAUGUGCUACCCGGAGUCGAGGUACGAAUUGCCUGUCAUUGUUUGUUUUUGUCAUCUUGAGUCUGGCUGAGUAUUGGAGGCUGUUUGUCACUGCUCCGAGCCGUGGUACGAAUUCUCUGUUGUUGUUUGUUUUUGUCACUCAGUGGCCAAGUCCAAGUCCAGGCUUCGUGUCCGAGCUCCUCCUGUUUGUUGUCCUGCAUCCUCGUCCACAUAAGCGUUCUAUCCUCGGCCCCCAGCUUUCCUGUCAACCAUUAAUAAACUGUUAAUGCUACUUACAUGUCUGUGUCCUGC
Molecule: long non-coding RNA, 2264 nt
Organism: Hypanus sabinus (Atlantic stingray)
Lineage: Eukaryota; Metazoa; Chordata; Chondrichthyes; Myliobatiformes; Dasyatidae
Exons: 10
Source: RefSeq, a predicted model, not a curated record